Molecule: ribosomal RNA, 156 nt
Filed under: Sphingobium yanoikuyae
Lineage: Bacteria; Pseudomonadati; Pseudomonadota; Alphaproteobacteria; Sphingomonadales; Sphingobiaceae
Description: partial 16S rRNA
Rfam family: Bacterial small subunit ribosomal RNA
Source: RNAcentral
GGGCUACACACGUGCUACAAUGGCGACUACAGUGGGCAGCCACCUCGCGAGAGGGAGCUAAUCUCCAAAAGUCGUCUCAGUUCGGAUCGUUCUCUGCAACUCGAGAGCGUGAAGGCGGAAUCGCUAGUAAUCGCGGAUCAGCAUGCCGCGGUGAAU